GACGAACGCUGGCGGCGUGCUUAACACAUGCAAGUCGAACGGAAAGGCCCUUCGGGGUACUCGAGUGGCGAACGGGCGAGUAACACGUGGGUAAUCUGCCCUGCACUUUGUGAUAAGCCUGGGAAACCGGGUCUAAUACCGAAUAUGAUCAUCAGCUUCAUGGUCGGUUGUGGAAAGCGUUUGCGGUGUGGGUUGGGCCAGCGGUCUAUCAGCUUGUGCGGGGUGUAAUGGCUGACGAGGGCGACGACGGGUAGCCGGCCUGUGAGGGUGACCGGCGACACUGGGACUGAGGGACGGCGCAGACGCCUACGGGAGGCAGCAGGGGGAAAUAUUGCGCAAUGGGCGCGAGCCUGAUGCAGAGACGCUGCGUGAGGGAUGACGGCCUUCGGGUGGUAAACCUCUUUCAGCACAGACGAAGCGCAAGUGACGGUAUGUGCAGAAGAAGGACCGGCCAACUACGUG
RNAcentral lists this ribosomal RNA (462 nucleotides) under uncultured bacterium. RNAcentral describes it as "partial 16S ribosomal RNA". It matches the Rfam family "Bacterial small subunit ribosomal RNA", at positions 28 to 507 of the family's 1533-position model. The record is from RNAcentral.